This 75-nucleotide transfer RNA is filed under the name Solimonas sp. K1W22B-7. RNAcentral describes it as "tRNA-Phe". It matches the Rfam family "tRNA". From Rfam's summary of the family: Transfer RNA (tRNA) molecules are approximately 80 nucleotides in length. The record is from RNAcentral. Lineage: Bacteria; Pseudomonadati; Pseudomonadota; Gammaproteobacteria; Nevskiales; Nevskiaceae.
GUCCCUGUAGCUGAGUUGGCUUAGCGCCGCGCCGAAAACGCGGAGAGGCUCGUUCGAUCCGAGCUGGGGACACCC